AUUGAACGCUGGCGGCAGGCCUAACACAUGCAAGUCGAACGGUAACAGGGAUCAGCUUGCUGAUUCGCUGACGAGUGGCGGACGGGUGAGUAAUGUCUGGGAAACUGCCUGAUGGAGGGGGAUAACUACUGGAAACGGUAGCUAAUACCGCAUAACGUCGCAAGACCAGAGAGGGGGACCUUCGGGCCUCUUGCCAUCGGAUGUGCCCAGAUGGGAUUAGCUAGUAGGUGGGGUAACGGCUCACCUAGGCGACGAUCCCUAGCUGGUCUGAGAGGAUGACCAGCCACACUGGAACUGAGACACGGUCCAGACUCCUACGGGAGGCAGCAGUGGGGAAUAUUGCACAAUGGGCGCAAGCCUGAUGCAGCCAUGCCGCGUGUAUGAAGAAGGCCUUCGGGUUGUAAAGUACUUUCAGCGGGGAGGAAGGGAGUAAAGUUAAUACCUUUGCUCAUUGACGUUACCCGCAGAAGAAGCACCGGCUAACUCCGUG
This 490-nucleotide ribosomal RNA is filed under the name uncultured bacterium. RNAcentral describes it as "partial 16S ribosomal RNA". It matches the Rfam family "Bacterial small subunit ribosomal RNA", at positions 30 to 507 of the family's 1533-position model. The record is from RNAcentral.